UAAAGAGUUCUAUAACUCCCAAACCCAUGUGAACAUACCUAACGUUGCCUCGGCAGGUCGCACCUACCUUGUAGCACCCUACCCUGUAGGGCCUACCCGGGAGGUGCGGGUAAGCCUGCCGGCGGCCCACCAAACUCUGUUUGAUAUUGAAUUCUGAACCUAUAACUAAAUAAGUUAAAACUUUCAACAACGGAUCUCUUGGUUCUGGCAUCGAUGAAGAACGCAGCGAAAUGCGAUAAGUAAUGUGAAUUGCAGAAUUCAGUGAAUCAUCGAAUCUUUGAACGCAUAUUGCGCCCAUUAGUAUUCUAGUGGGCAGGACCGUUCGAGCGUCAUUUCAACCCUUAAGCCUUCGUUGCUUAGUGUUGGGAGCCUACGGCAACGUAGCUCCUCAAAGUUAGUGGCGGAGUUGGUUCACACUCUAGACGUAGUAAUUUUUUAUCUCGCCUAUUAGUUGGACUAAUCCCCUGCCGUAAAACCCCCAAUUUAUCAAGGUUGACCUCGAAUCGGUUCAGACAAACUCGCUAAAUUGAAGCAUCUUAGUCAGCGAAGG
This 550-nucleotide ribosomal RNA is filed under the name fungal endophyte. RNAcentral's name for it is "eukaryotic LSU rRNA". The stretch from base 179 to 332 matches the Rfam family "5.8S ribosomal RNA". Lineage: Eukaryota; Fungi. The record is from RNAcentral.